RNAcentral lists this small nucleolar RNA (192 nucleotides) under Neurospora crassa. Its description in RNAcentral is "box H/ACA snoRNA ACA8". Lineage: Eukaryota; Fungi; Ascomycota; Sordariomycetes; Sordariales; Sordariaceae. The record is from RNAcentral.
AGAAAGUUGCACCCGGGGACGCAGAAUAUAGGCCCAAUGACGAAUUCUACUGUUUCAGACAGUCGUUGGGUUGUAUUAACCGGGGAGAUUAAAACUGAGAGUCUCAAGAAUUGCUAUGAAUGCGUUGCCCUUGUUUUCUUCGGAAGUCAAGGCUCCGCGAUGAAUACGCGAUCCCGUUUGGCUUCGACAUUU